UGUCAGGCUGCCGGCCCUGUCUCCAUGGAUACCUAAUUUGGAGGAGAAUAGAGGACUGAAGAAUGUUUGUGUUGUCCGCACGGGCUGUGGCGGCGGAGCGGUCUCCUGCUUUCCGCCCGGCAGCGAGGAGUGGGGACCCGGUUCCAGCCCAACUCUGGGCUUACGGCGCAGGGCCAAGUCCCAGGCAAAGAGGAGCCCCAGAUGCAGACCCAAGAGGAGACAGGCACUGGAAGGACCUCACCAGCCCCAGAUCACAGGGCCACCCCAAGUGGACAGAGGACAGUCCAUGGCGGCCUCCACUGAGCACCUGCGCCCUCCCCGCAGUGCCCAUCACUGAGUGCACAGGUGUGAGGCUGCGUUGUGUGCUAGAAACAGAGCCUCAGGGAGGGGAACUGACUUCAGACAGGGCAAAGCGCAGAGUCAACUGCAAAUCCCUGUUCCUCAAUGAAAAAGCAAGUCAUCUUUUUAAAAAGUAAUUGCUGACAAAAAGUCAUGACUAUCAUUAAAAAGUCCAGGUCAUCCUCG
Molecule: long non-coding RNA, 525 nt
Filed under: Homo sapiens (human)
Lineage: Eukaryota; Metazoa; Chordata; Mammalia; Primates; Hominidae
Description: HSALNT0368208
Source: RNAcentral